This is a non-coding RNA of Potamilus streckersoni, 74 nucleotides long. The record is from the annotation of a GenBank genome assembly. NCBI's taxonomy places the organism in Eukaryota, Metazoa, Mollusca, Bivalvia, Unionida, Unionidae.
UCACCAGUGGCUUAGUGGUUAGAGCGUCCGCCUCGGAUGCGAGUGGUUAUUGGUUCGAACCGCGGCCGAGUUAU